Molecule: long non-coding RNA, 4171 nt
Filed under: Varroa destructor (honeybee mite)
Lineage: Eukaryota; Metazoa; Arthropoda; Arachnida; Mesostigmata; Varroidae
Description: uncharacterized LOC111252344, transcript variant X3
Source: RNAcentral
CCCUCUUCGGUUUCUGUACCGCCCACAGUUACCAAAAUCGGCAGAUGUGCCGCAAUCAUCUGCGAGAAAAUAGGUGAUACAGGGCCCGCAGUACGUAUCGCCGUUGCCAGAUCCAUCGGAUGCGCAGCCCUGCACUAGAAUGACGUCCUCUGUACCCGGCAGAACGUUGAAUAUCUUUGAAUAUAGAAAAAUAUCGGUCGUGAACGAUGGCCUCGUCGAGGUGUAACAUGAUUUUGUUCGUCGUCCAGUCCUAUUGUCGGCAUGAAGGCAAAUACAAGAGAGCAACAGACCGAACGGUUUAAGUUCAAACACAAUGGCUACGUCGACUCUUCGUGAAAAGAAAACUUGUAAAUACCUGAUUAAAACUUAUUCGCUGCGAAGAAAAAUUUUUUUAAUCAACAGGAUCUGGAACAUUCACGAAAAGGAAACACGAGAUCAAGUACCAGUCUGUUGAUCAAGAAAGCUCAACAAGCUAUUCAUACACGAUGCUAUUAUAUAAUAUCUAUAUAACUUCAUGCUAUUUGUAUGCCAAUACACGGAAGACAUCCGAUCGUAACGUGCCCUAAACACGUCCUACUGUUCCUCGAUUAGAGAAAUACACUUGAGUUAACAUGCUGUAGCAAUUUUAAGAUCCCUUUAAAUCAGCUCUAAGAGACCAAAUCUAAAAAAUAGCUUCUUUAUUCAUACAAGUUGUACAAUGUUUACAUUUUCAAAUAUAUAUUCAUAUUAUAGACCCUUCCAAAUUGCGCAAGAGAAACAUACAAUUCUUGAAGACCGCAAACGUCAAAAUAGAUCAUAUUGAUUUUUAUACGUGACUUCAAUAGCCAUAUGAUACUAUGUAGAUACGCCAUUCACCGCGUACCUAUUUUUUUUUGAUACUUAAAAUAAUUCCAUUUGUAUUUAGACUACGAAUGGCAGGUUUAGGGAGCUCUCCUAAACUCUUUCAUGCCACAAACAGUACUCUCAAUGUAUUUGAAACAUGAAUAUUUAUGCAAUCACGCAUGCAAUUCGAUUGAUCACAAGCAGUCUGAUGAGGGGAGCAGUCUGAAGCACUCAGGGGUGGCCCAGCUUCCCUGUAUACGAAAGCAGUGGCAUCACCGAUGUAGUGAUCGGUAAUAGGUGCAAGGCGCUGUCCGAGGACAAAGUUUAAAUGCAGAAACAGACAAAGAUUCACCACUGAUGGCUUGCCCCCGAUAGCCGCUUAUUGCACUGGUGACGUUCUGCAUAUGGUUUCAUAUAUAUAGUCGACUAUAUUAUACAUUCAGAUUAUCGGGUUGCGGAAAAGUACUGACCGUUUUAAGCGCAAAAUUGAAGCAUAUUAAAUGAGUACUACUAAAACAAAUACAUAUCAUUAUUUCCACCUUCUGCUGUAUUUAUGGUCAUAGCAUAAUCCUAUCAUUACGGAAUUUCUGUUCUGUUGCUUUUUCGGCGAGCUCUGGUGUGAUAUUGAAAAAAGUUAUUCCAAGUUUUGUCGGAUAGCUAAAGAUAUAGGCCGUCUGGCAAUGUCAUGAUGGAAUACGAUGCUUUCUCUGUUAACUAGUUGCGAACGUUUUGUUUUUCAAUAGUUUUUUUAUUAAUUUAUUCUAGUUAUAGCGGAGGUCCGACUCGACCGUUUUAGCAGGCGCCGACAGCUCAGUUGCACGAUUCCCUUCAAAUCCCACCAAAGCUAUAGGUUAACCUUCUUAGGCGUCAGUCUGAGCCUCGCAACAAACUGUGGAGCAUAUUUUUUUUUCUUUACCUGCAUAUUACUGUCGAAUCUGAUCCACUUUUCGUCACCCGUGAUCAACCAGUUUAAAAAUGGCCUGAUUUCAUUACGUUUUACCAAAAUUCCACAGGUGAAAAUACAAUAGAACAAACGAUUUCGUGUCAAAUGUGUGCCACCUAAACAUCGAACCAGCUUCUUUCCAAUGGUGUAAAGCUGCUUCGUGGUAAAUGUUCAGUCUCUUGGUGUUAUUAUGCAAUAAUUUUAUCGACUUUUUCGUGUUCGGUCAACCGGUACAAGGGGUAACUUUAAUAUCGAAUUUCCCAGAACGGGAAUGAGAGAAGGACCUUGUAAUCAUUUCCUUCGGACGUAUCAUCAAUAAUUUUUUUAUGAGCCUGAAGCCUUUAUCGUAAUAAAACUGUAAAAUAUAUUAAAAAUUUCAUCCAUCCUCAAGGCAUUCCAACAUAAUCUGCUAUCGCCGUAUCUCAGCUAAAAGCAAAUAACAGCAAUCACCGCGACCCUGAGAAAGGUAAUUUUAAAAGCAUCCAGCUAGUAAAACGGUCAAUACUUUUUUCGACAAUCUAACGUGUUCCGGUUUCUAGUAGUAGUAGUUCGAGUAUUAAGGGCUACACUGCUGCUCUGUGCAAAGCAAAAUAAUUGCGGAUAUAAAAUGUUAAAUGUCUUUACCUCUAUAGUAAUGGAUUUUCUGUGAACCCGUAACCUGGCCUGAAUACAUAAAUACACGUUUGGUUAGUAUUAACCCAGUUGUUACGAGUGUUGACUAUUCGGGCCCAACAAAAUUUUCUUUCUCUCUUCCUCGACAAGUACCCGCCGUCGAAUAGCAAUGAAUCAGUGAAAAAAAACAAUAUAUCUACUUACGCUUGACCGCGCGUGUCUACCACAAUAAAGGACAUAUCGAUACAGAUACUGAUUUGCAAUUCCCUCAACGAGACAGUAGCACUGAAUCAGAAUAAACACGGUAAUAAAAUUCAACUUAUCAGACCAGUACAACUUAGUCCUAAAUCACAAAUGUAUGUUCACCGAUCAAUGACAUACUUUCCUAAAACUACCGCCCUACUUAGAGACAGUCUUCCAGAGAGGUCUGCAGGAGCUCGUGUAUAAGAUGACCACUUAGCGGCAUCAUAGCGAUUUUUCUUCGACGAACAAUCUACGAAUAUCAGUCACCUAUGGCGCCGAUUGACUAGAACGGACCUAACGUCGCUCGCCCAUCCGGUCAAUACCGUUCACAGCCGUGUACACUAAAUAAUAAGCUUAUACUAUAGCAAACGCGUAUAGGGAUAUCAAUACGCAUCACCCUGUUGGCAUUUGGAUCCAAACCUGUACUUUUAUGUGAAGCCUAAAUGCCACUUUCAUCUGAGGAUAACGUUUACGAUAGGCCCAAAUGACGAUCCUUAUUGUUGAAUCGACUUUAAAUCGAAUGAUGUCUCUAAUUUUGAACUUACAGGUACCUAUGUUUGAUAAUUAACGCUAUGCAUGAAGCACACCGACGCACGCGUCUUGUGGCCUAAAAAUUCGGCCCAUUGUAAAACUGGUUGUUUAGCGUGAGUAGUGCGAUAAUUUCGCUAAAUAACAUAUAAUGUAAAAAGCUUAAGAAGCAGUACGCAGCUUAGGCCCAUUUAAUACAGAAAAAUGGUUCCUCUCUACAGAUGUGUACCCAGGCAACGAAUAAAUAGCGCGUCCAUCAACAUUUUUACCCUCGUGCUCGAAAAAUGAGACCAGGUGGAUGGAUAUAUUAAUGAUUUCUGUCGCAGCUGAUCCAAAUCACUCUCGCUACCUGUGUCAGUCCUGCCUAAGGCUAAGGCGUUCUAUUUUCAGCUAUAUAGUUUCCCCGUAAUGUGUUCGCCAAGUUUGAGAGAAACUGGUUUAGCAAACACAUAAUUGAAGUUUGUUUUCUGUGGAUGUGCCGAGAUAGGCUCAUCUUUUGAAACAAAAAUAACGUUUAGUUGUCGUAUCGAAACCAUUCCCCGUCAUAUACAACAAUUCGAUUCAAACAAUCACAAUAAAGCUAGCUCGGCAGCAGUGGAAACUAACAAACCCACGUGUUUACCGAACUCUGCCGACUAACUUGCCACUUGUACGCUUUUCUUAUCGGGUACAGUCGAUUGCCCAUGGUGGAUUCUGAUCCAUACGACCUCUUAAAGUCUACCGUCUAUAGUCUGAUUAAACAUUACUUCGGAAACGGCAAAACACGCGCCACUGGCUGCGUGGUCCCACAUGUGGUCCUGUUACAACACUGGGAACAUUCGUGCGCCUCUUUGCUCAUUGUUAAGGCUCGACGAUCUGAUGUCUCAGAUCAUAAUCAUUCUCUAUGCCUUUACACUAAUAGCUUACACGCGAAGUUUACCUGUGGUAGUAAUUUUUUUUUUGAGGAAGACCCUUGUAAAACACAUUAGCACGCAUAUCUAGAUUCGAACGCUUCACCUAUGUGGAAAUAGGUGCGCUAUUCAA